This 484-nucleotide ribosomal RNA is filed under the name uncultured bacterium. RNAcentral describes it as "partial 16S ribosomal RNA". It matches the Rfam family "Bacterial small subunit ribosomal RNA", at positions 30 to 507 of the family's 1533-position model. The record is from RNAcentral.
AUUGAACGCUGGCGGCAGGCCUAACACAUGCAAGUCGAGCGGAUGAAGGGAGCUUGCUCCUGGAUUCAGCGGCGGACGGGUGAGUAAUGCCUAGGAAUCUGCCUGGUAGUGGGGGAUAACGUCCGGAAACGGGCGCUAAUACCGCAUACGUCCUGAGGGAGAAAGUGGGGGAUCUUCGGACCUCACGCUAUCAGAUGAGCCUAGGUCGGAUUAGCUAGCUGGUGGGGUAAAGGCCUACCAAGGCGACGAUCCGUAACUGGUCUGAGAGGAUGAUCAGUCACACUGGAGCUGAGACACGGUCCAGACUCCUACGGGAGGCAGCAGUGGGGAAUAUUGGACAAUGGGCGAAAGCCUGAUCCAGCCAUGCCGCGUGUGUGAAGAAGGUCUUCGGAUUGUAAAGCACUUUAAGUUGGGAGGAAGGGCAGUAAGUUAAUACCUUGCUGUUUUGACGUUACCAACAGAAUAAGCACCGGCUAACUUCGUG